UCUGCCUCGCUGCCAUUGCUUCGCUGUCAUUGCUGACAUUUACAUCGAGAAACGCUCCUCUUCCAGAAGCCUCUCGCUGUCGGUAUCUCUGUGUCCGUGUCUUCACUUGUCUUGUCUGCUGCCCGUCCCAACUGUAUUUCAUGUCGGCCGCUCCGGGACCCGGGUCCCUGUGUCACCACACCUCAUGACACAGCUCUUCAAACCUUUGGCCUCACCACGAGUCCACGUUCAGCAUAAAAGACUUCCAAAAAGAGCCUCGAGGAGACAGGAAGCCCAUCGCAGGUUUGUUCGUCGGUUGCAGAAUUCAACCGCUGUUUCGUACGGAAGGAGGCGGCCGUCGCCGUCGGCGGUGCUUCCUUCUGGUGUUUGCUGGUUGUAACAGCAACUCCAUGUGGAAGCUGAGUGUGUUCCAGUGGAGGUGCUGUUACCUUCAGAGAUUCACCAAACGCGACGUGAGGCCUGCUUUUGUUUCUCUGCUUUUGUCGCUCCAUCAUCCUUCACGACUUGCUGGGAGAUCCUGACGAGUAUUUUAACACUGAGGAGACUGGAGAGUGAUGGGGAUCAAGGUGAUGACCUAUGAAUUGACAGCCAGGGAAUCUAACAUCUGCCUGUCAGUUCUGUAGGCCACUGCUGCGUUUGUCCCACUGAACAUGCUCAGGACAGUCCAGGCCUCGCAGACCCGCAGCGACCCGACUGUGAAUUUUUGUGCUCUUCACGUUAGUAACAAUUGUUCUUGAGUAUCUUUCAUGCUUAAUAAAAUCUGAAUGUGUUUCA
This is a long non-coding RNA of Mugil cephalus (flathead mullet), 774 nucleotides long. RefSeq lists it as uncharacterized. The transcript is spliced from 2 exons. NCBI's taxonomy places the organism in Eukaryota, Metazoa, Chordata, Actinopteri, Mugiliformes, Mugilidae. The record is from RefSeq and is a predicted model, not a curated record.